AACGAACGCUGGCGGCAUGCCUAACACAUGCAAGUCGAACGAGACCUUCGGGUCUAGUGGCGCACGGGUGCGUAACGCGUGGGAACCUGCCCUUAGGUUCGGAAUAACUCCCCGAAAGGGGUGCUAAUACCGGAUAAUGUCUUCGGACCAAAGAUUUAUCGCCUUUGGAUGGGCCCGCGUUGGAUUAGCUAGUUGGUAGGGUAAAAGCCUACCAAGGCGACGAUCCAUAGCUGGUCUGAGAGGAUGAUCAGCCACACUGGGACUGAGACACGGCCCAGACUCCUACGGGAAGCAGCAGUGGGGAAUAUUGGACAAUGGGCGAAAGCCUGAUCCAGCAAUGCCGCGUGAGUGAUGAAGGCCUUGGGGUUGUAAAGCUCUUUUACCCGGGAUGAUAAUGACAGUACCGGGAGAAUAAGCUCCGGCUAACUCCGUG
This 433-nucleotide ribosomal RNA is filed under the name uncultured bacterium. RNAcentral describes it as "partial 16S ribosomal RNA". It matches the Rfam family "Bacterial small subunit ribosomal RNA", at positions 29 to 507 of the family's 1533-position model. The record is from RNAcentral.